Molecule: non-coding RNA, 895 nt
Organism: Castor canadensis (American beaver)
Lineage: Eukaryota; Metazoa; Chordata; Mammalia; Rodentia; Castoridae
Source: RefSeq, a predicted model, not a curated record
AUUGACCAUAACUACAUGGUCUACAUGUUCCAGUAUGACUCCACCCAUAGCAAGUUCAAUGGCACAGUGAAGGCUGAGAACAGGAAGCUUGUCAUCAAUGGGAGGCCAUCUCCAUCUUCCAGGAGCGAGAUCCCUCCAACAUCAAAUGGGGUGAUGCUGGUGCCGAGUAUAUCGUGGAGUCCAUUGGAGUCUUCACUACCAUGGAGAAGGCUGGGGCUCACUUGAAGGGUGGAGCCAGAAGGGUCAUAAUCUCUGCCCCUUCUGCUGAUGCCCCCAUGUUUGUGAUGAGUGUGAACUAUGAGAAGUAUGACAACUCCCUGAAGAUUGUCAGCAAUGCCUCCUGUACCACCAACUGCCUAGCACCCUUGGCCAAUGUCAUCCAUGACAACUUUGGCAUCGUGGAAGGACUCAUGAUCACAGUCCAUGCCAUCACUGCCACCCAGAAGACUGUGGAUGGCCCCUCUGGUAAACUGUGGUGCGAUGGCCGUGGGGCUGCCCAAAACCUCAUCCCUGUCUCCACUGGCGCUGCCAAGGCUGUGGGCAAAGUCAUCCUGGAGCUAAAUGGGAAGCUCACUGGCAUGGCCUUCUGUGUACCCACCCCCAACGUUUCAGUGUGGAACUGACCUGCUGCCUGGAGAAAGUGACCAAAUAUGAUGACAUCAAGAAGGUGGUGAAGCAGGUGUUGGAAGGCCCCCUAAAGGGCAUCCUGAGUUACACCAAGGACAAGGUUGUCUCCUGCGAUUUCAACAGCGACACCCACUCUUCCACCUUUGAUGCUGGGGCUGGCAUUGCCCUCAGUGAUCACUUUGUCAAGCUCAUUUCCUGGUAUGACAACAAAUUUGGCUACAGCAACAAGGUGGUGGACCUCAUGGUCCACAUGGCCUCCAAGGAGUAA